AAAGUCAGACAAUGAAGGAAUCCAGACAAUGCUAAAGGGAAAGUUAAUGACUAAGGCCUGAAUAUUAAGCUGGUUAUCCCCAGUGUGUUAACAAUACUUUGCUGGUGGAGAUCAGAAGAAUGGAGCCAGUGGCUGACUUAUUUUAAAAGGCUCUCUCCUCCUCUUAUAAGAAUUAUAGGGACCCUCAGGUACGAAUGGACCCCCUGCACUGGUCUCUCUCAAGGAAGGAAAUCCCUUCACCCAAAGGAUCUCAUGAUCCUUCGUUCUUGAUGGAAUGGUAUAGGCAAUGCACCAGGCAGGAACUGACAUAGAGGCAAUGCUGAUCUCGGCCACAUUUUCAUGGAUCAUAGAAUGAUAGAGUUGGAAAGGACCCCAAGGUUCAUCUAGUCCAGGGGUCGGCAACCCACGGCUCCGGAGCCGCAUGUGGCUCUUUUACACCUUUGCCGCGGCUCUGGGGCGGAUGCUAGCAAGGGGAGGAGGCGCAUUGUGCGCCCCGACACUCCCCACUGUGGCGGGCGCUGUACUGGCUGUGACGUCACAUGAGGGCGGUGCGUGCGUUAGUCACGCACCGUCCCAACGUCACCUUCCCACCCGCCCGCCCUCUACAUUGUAAGGGGCAUGUACGCUGGUCACUGCAUUGAAAGGGGGCAUGUACGCUGGUCACUGUUUUGAAGGGGAGUGAAGAACACACACACACAAAAAGGUAACUUGUUAAUUUAACGUUUAUUUCUAUGAGGAGGAGUAAUUCUGAGGGGUCAAACAAAGAAAUAAUAAAAAAGUGACAAAAAAGUUAUUUUUAUAAUGACGAGUUUUGCAGCUCCCAGUUUUUUUUUUCUUCGGAAAUGGGUCCAAGUGGCUCUUUUUGUCUUAAAGGUUGCAGACCCCUGAUCUAGUCCCACCCCUUGCAAUGCAGGAAUAUGCAGCUGUCCCAUAGGGGGAUCAAACCUGCAACCUUAGUGUUAUCAGCACCACACUCCAACCAACAGAGCUAUCCAGGCUGACAUUUUGCCUUCACCGCUCCCUACUGUGUUGUGAUCAUUGCCCUUCCCUGCCCUACAUAUAAACUUCCCCUUCCCAUUAGCAGACUUUGUGACAAAGCACUAAUUGUACACUGCUCAUCAGUUGCGUUCCUUGAUGCACAUUUAUAGAGGGCUUUCCAUUUGCAGAGCAGCUUGUGUUGUAUUUGUUUGUUGUAUUCAUACCCCACCUCUUAACCAAAAAGGUUAAUGAGGCAGCUCACAGCAUAUAAAAACAAAUCACUAUAAAGCAUUUGGAAGCGAGAGAGAAAACAAAUAAUAAGGAAAGCAAUCAGUAACAGAAAUCAAAUAAACAGCAGCAUCAAAACAUGUUAAAAGCAGCAGGGGGGAAAUGGUGCAUUUAUAUUCUUUCUAAAGGUGAGCAAAGGAGGAUCUGGAUGAAGGGACAGGAGGCAUUCUCUGUACAAGGUGCCAUAAUAAAAAAGACCCUGUUCUUCAUUGUCACCCUUCUCUUUUCAGAAGCUGGGGCCAUGCUCAUCUUAAUGGUCAAGCAGCCUUGUGUGAGUACAAGCAGGGGUGGGAGACCUCCAUUUAUUGCUGGGUUGCAACUUCCAUCUUCCUUGACUGUUGGCUGUGCUAACCAGAGCUGGUGGGAGCUAUAGCCAAACAUAAUGCCAAGGUUGCAGGUUUGAUCCCCAUAUGGGAGACCCGUGUAGAGAACAUUGCAAUCAAUCAAUCAAGACUUUGGGCCCAGCUCUACCAUUAAACAGAGUGAGGCAGAUGCAUCAGGCAGCAGAGGAGAUGUGGGCUUUCUUGCCUCACAAACCAAACCAAUUGGUCUGAUUAUGUAUCUUGGCUUUGGUGGGUGAAGGAGGGAGGCACAUGUUGCUUCCUCUCCAGCAGCAGGCAGGGCCUGCUAGAUAUGCAGCAGUUCUCACAACAAUCCUGUAAGGCCAGUAUAUUUAUUGCGAGGGAGGAGGGCUGAAGCUGGGAUAACGGUGUCUUGCCUAAGGCAGCCUAGCGAGAUGUUAAUUCCGGUGAGUUGUGAACCAACAACUUUCUAAAUUGUAUACCUAUUCACUAUGUUGGCAUCCAUGCUGAAGAGGGCGGACUCUAUCCAUAUACAUCUCCACAUGUGAUUCUGAGCCUCUGGAUUCACAUCCCAUAGCAGGUGACUCAGGGUUCAUUCACACUUCACUUGUCCCACAUCUAGAAAGCAUGGGGCAGAGAUGUUUCCCUUGUCGCAUACUCUCUAGGAACAGUUCCAAGUGGUUUUCCAUUUGUGCUGCCACUCUCCCCGGAAAAACACACUCUUUACCAUUAAAUGGUCAACCAGCAAAAAGCCCGAUUGACCUUUACUCCAAUUCAACAGUAAAAAGUGGGAAAGUGGCAGAACAAGUGGAAGCGUGGAUGAAUGCUCAGAGGCAUGUAACUUUCAAUCUGCUGGCACACCUUGCUGCCAGUCUGUAAAAAAAAUUGAAACUGGAGGUGUCAUGAGAAAUGAUGUCAACAAAAGUGGGUACCCCUGUUCAAUUCCUCAUGAGUACAUUCAAGCCAGCAAGCGUCACUUUGACUCAGACAUUAAGUAUCUGCUUCCACGUCCUCCACUACCACCAACCCCAAGAGCCAAACUAUCUUGGGAUAUUGGGGGUAAAAAAUGGAGGCAGGUAGUGGUUUCUUGCUUGAAAGAAAGUAGCAGGUGUAUCAUAUCCCUGGCAGAGCAUUCUUUCUUACUGAGGAUGUAACUGGGAAAGCGCAGCAUCCCUAGAAGGAAAAUGAUGCUGUUCCAUUUCUACCAGGGAGAAAGCCCUUUGGCAUCUAUAUGGUCUUCUCCCUGAUGGAAAUUAGUGCCUAUAGAACCACAUGGGAGUGCUGGGAGCUGUCGUCUGGGUCCCAUUCCAGCAAGAAAGGAUCCUCCACCUGUUACUGCCCAUGCAUCACAUAUGAGUAGCUUCAAGGCUCCUUUCCCCCACCAAAAGGAAGCAUUAUGGGCCCUUGUAGUGGAGGGAGUGGAAAAAUCAAUUUGGCCUCUUGCAAAGUCUCAAGUCUCAAGCACUCAAGCAAAGUUUUGGGCUUUUGCUAGUGCUCAGGCCAAUAUCUGGCAAACACUCGAUCCAUUUCAAGCAAAGGGAUGCUUGUGCAUCCUUCUUUGAAAUGGGAGAAAGUUGCUAGUUUUGCAUAGUGCAUGUGAUUAGCCAAACGCCACCUUCUGACUCAAAAGCCUGAAUUUGAGUUCUGAGCAGAAAACUUUGUAAAUGUUGCUGGAUUUGAAGAGCUUUUUUAUCCAAGGGCAUGCAUAACACUUCCUUUACCAAAAAAAAUUGUACCCUAUGCAAAACAAAUGCACACACACAGAGACACACACAUUAGAUAUACCCAGAAAUGGGCUGUUAGUAUGCAAGAGGCUCCCUGCUGCUGCAUAAUCUGUUAUCACUCACUCUCAGUGCACUUUAUUCAAAGUGUGCACCCAACCUUAGCUUUGCAAAAAAAUAUGCAAAGGUCAAAAUAACAAAUUGCUUAGAGAUUAUAAAAAUCCCAUUUCCCAUUCGCUGGAAUCUAUUCCCAGGAAGCUUCUAGUAAUUUGUUGUUUUCACCUUUCUAUAUAUUUUCAUUCUCUGCUUUGCUGAGGAAACCUGCAAUAUGAGGAUCCUUUCAUUUCCUCCUGCUGCAAAAGUUAGGAUUAUUUUUUUUAAAAAAAAUUAUGAUGAUGAUGACAGGGGAAACCCAUGUAAAACUUUUGGGUUCCAAUCCACUUAAAAUUAGUCAAGACUAACCCUUUGAAAGAGACACGGGUGGUGCUGUGGGUUAAACCACAGAGCCUAGGACUUGCCAAUCAGAAGGUUGGUGGUUCGAAUCCCCGUGACGGGGUGAGCUCCCGUUGCUCAGUCCCUGCUCCUGCCAACCUAGCAGUUCGAAAGCACGUCAAAGUGCAAGUAGAUAAAUAGGUACCACUCCGGCGGGAAGGUAAACGAUGUUUCCGUGUGCUGCUCUGGUUCGCCAGAAGCGGCUUAGUCAUGCUGGCCACAUGACUCGGAAGCUGUACGCUGGCUCCCUCGGCCAAUAAAGCGAGAUGAGAGCCACAACCCCAGAGUCGGCCACGACUGGACCUAAUGGUCAGGGGUCCCUUUACCUUUAACCCUUUGAAAAGAAUAGAACAAGCUGAUCAUGACUAAUGCCAUUGUUUCCAAAUGGGACAAUGUCAAAUUGGACAUGACACCAGACAUAAGAGAAUCUCCCAAGCACAAGAGAUGGGUUAAAGAAGUCACCCCACCCCACCUCCCAGAGCAGCUAGCUCAGUCUCUGCACCUGGCUAGUGUUUCCAGGCUGCUUCAAAGGGUCUUCCAGGACCUUUUAAGCCCACCCCAGGCUAACUCUCAGCUACCUUUCUCCCCACCUCCCUGGCCACCAAAGCAAAUAGCAUCUUGCCUCACCAUGUCAUCUGUCUUGUUUCAGAUAAGCUCAUGUGUUACCUGACAAUUAAGAAGCAAAGAAAAUGGAUAUGAACACCCGUAAGGGACAAGGGAUGCAACUUGCCACCCUACUAUAGCAUGAGUUGGUUGGGAUACAACAGAGCUGUAAUUGAGAUUCUGAUAAGGGAAGGGUACCAUUUAGUAAAGUGUUCCCUCAAACAGUGUGAAUGAUCUGACAAGGGAGAAGAAUGCCAGGGUGGAAUUAAUCACUACCUGAAAACAAUUUCACACUAGACUAAACAGGGGAAAGAUUUUUUUAAAAAACCUCAGAUGCCUUGUAUGGACUGUUUGUAACCCAAGCUUUGGUAAUAAAACAAACAAAAAAUACACAAUUAACAUGAACUGUGACCAAGAGGCUCUCAAUAAGUAAAGACAACAUUCCAAAGGCAGAAAGUGUAAGGAGCAGGCCUAUUCUCGUGAUAAAUGUUUACUGAAAAUGCUGUGGUUGCUCCAUAAUUUCUCCUCAAUUUCUUUCCUCCCAUGAAUUCAAGAUGACCCUACCUGCCCACGGACUGUCUCACCAGAGUGGUGCAUGCUCUAGUCAUUUCCUGCUUGGACUACUGCAAUGCGCUCUAUGUGGGGCUACCUUUGAAG
Molecule: long non-coding RNA, 5041 nt
Filed under: Podarcis lilfordi (Lilford's wall lizard)
Lineage: Eukaryota; Metazoa; Chordata; Lepidosauria; Squamata; Lacertidae
Source: RNAcentral